This 390-nucleotide ribosomal RNA is filed under the name uncultured bacterium. RNAcentral describes it as "bacterial SSU rRNA". It matches the Rfam family "Bacterial small subunit ribosomal RNA", at positions 28 to 409 of the family's 1533-position model. The record is from RNAcentral.
GACGAACGCUGGCGGCGUGCCUAAUACAUGCAAGUCGAGCGAAUUUAUGGGAGCUUGCUCCCGUAAGUUAGCGGCGGACGGGUGAGUAACACGUGGGCAACCUGCCUAUAAGACUGGGAUAACUUCGGGAAACCGGAGCUAAUACCGGAUAAUUCCUUUCCUCACAUGGGGGAAGGCUGAAAGAUGGUUUACGCUAUCACUUAUAGAUGGGCCCGCGGCGCAUUAGCUAGUUGGGAGGUAACGGCUCACCAAGGCAACGAUGCGUAGCCGACCUGAGAGGGUGAUCGGCCACACUGGGACUGAGACACGGCCCAGACUCCUACGGGAGGCAGCAGUAGGGAAUCUUCCGCAAUGGACGAAAGUCUGACGGAGCAACGCCGCGUGAGUGAU